Aedes albopictus (Asian tiger mosquito) is the source of this 1323-nucleotide long non-coding RNA. RefSeq lists it as uncharacterized. The transcript has 3 exons. The record is from RefSeq and is a predicted model, not a curated record. Lineage: Eukaryota; Metazoa; Arthropoda; Insecta; Diptera; Culicidae.
UCAUAACAUCUGGUUAGAGAAGAAUCGGCAGCCCCAAAAGGUUCCAUAUAUUAGCAAAAAAAAUUGGCAACCUUUUCUCAAAGUGGCGGAAAUUACUUGCAAACCGUAAGAAGUCUCAAUCCUGUUACAAACUGAAGCGGCAACAGUGGCGGGAUAAUCUACCAGUGGUUUUCGAUGUCUCGCGAGGUGAAUCCAGAUUUAAAUCUUCUAAAGAAUCCCUUCCGGGGACGGAAUCCGUAACAAAUUCGAUCCAAGAUGGUGAGCUUUCGGAUGCAAAUUCUGAUUGGGAUGAUGCCACUUCUAGUGAACCAUUGCCAAAAAAGCAGAAAAUUGAACCAUGGAAGAAUGAAGCACUUACUUUGCUUGAUCGUGCAAUGGUUACUGAUACGGCGGCAUCAGCGAUUUUAACCGCUACGGCGGUUGGAUUGGGUUUCGAUACCAACUCAGUGGCUAGUAGCAGAUCUAGCUUGUACCGUCGCAGGACAAAGGUAAUUGAGUGGUUGCAUGAAAUCUCUUAUUUUCAAUUACCUAUAUGUAAAAAAACCACCAGGCACGAGUUGAGCAGAUGGAGAAUGCUCAGAAAGAAUUUAUAUUGACACGAAACGAAUGAAGAAAGGCGUUGGACUCGAGUCAGAAGAAAGGUUAGCCGUAACCAUAGGCGUCAACUUGUGACGUAGUUGGGGGGCGAAGCUCUCAAAAAUUGGACAAUAUUCAAGUUUUUUCAGCUCAAUGCACUAGUUUUCACGUGAAUAUGCCUAAAUAAGCUGAACUGCAACAGUAUUUUCCGUAUUUGAUUGGUUUUGAGAGGCCUCGCCCCCCCAACUACGUCACAAGUUGGCGCGUAUGGCCGUAACUACUUCUGGAUUUGGAACGGAACACAUUGUUGGAGUACCAGUGAUACCAACAGGCACCGGCAAAGAUAUUGCACAAGCGGUAGUGAAACUGCUGGAAGAAAAAAACAUCGAAAACAGUAUAAAAGGCAUUUGCUAUGACAUCACAGCGGCUAAUUCAGGUAUACAAAAUGGAUCCGUGGUAUUGCUGGAAAAGCUGAUAGGACGAAGUCUGUUCCAUCUACCAUGUAGACACCACAUUCUGGAGUUGAUCCUUGAGGCGGUUUUUACAAAAGUAUUCAGCGAGAAAUCCAGUGGCCCUGAAAUAACAAUUUUCAAACGUUUCCAGAAAGAAUGGCCUGGUAUCAACAAAGAUUCAUACAAAGGUGUAGAAAACUUGAUCUCACCAAAAUUGAAACCAGCAUAUCUAAAAUCGAUUGAGACUCUUCACCACAUGAAGAAGAUUCGCGCUGAUUAUCAAGAAUUUAUUGAA